This 847-nucleotide small RNA is filed under the name Phaeosphaeria sp. 1 NV-2015. Its description in RNAcentral is "eukaryotic LSU rRNA". It matches the Rfam family "Eukaryotic large subunit ribosomal RNA", at positions 50 to 916 of the family's 3401-position model. The record is from RNAcentral. Lineage: Eukaryota; Fungi; Ascomycota; Dothideomycetes; Pleosporales; Phaeosphaeriaceae.
GCGGAGGAAAAGAAACCAACAGGGAUUGCCCUAGUAACGGCGAGUGAAGCGGCAACAGCUCAAAUUUGAAAUCUGGCUCUUUCAGAGUCCGAGUUGUAAUUUGCAGAGGGCGCUUUGGCGUUGGCAGCGGUCCAAGUUCUUUGGAACAGGACGUCACAGAGGGUGAGAAUCCCGUACGUGGUCGCUAGCCUUCGCCGUGUAAAGCCCCUUCGACGAGUCGAGUUGUUUGGGAAUGCAGCUCUAAAUGGGAGGUAAAUUUCUUCUAAAGCUAAAUACUGGCCAGAGACCGAUAGCGCACAAGUAGAGUGAUCGAAAGAUGAAAAGCACUUUGGAAAGAGAGUCAAAUAGCACGUGAAAUUGUUGAAAGGGAAGCGCUUGCAGCCAGACUUGCCUGUAGUUGCUUAUCUGGACUUUUGUCCGGUGCACUCUUCUGCGGGCAGGCCAGCAUCAGUUUGGGCGGUUGGAUAAAGGUCUCUGUCAUGUACCUCCUUUCGGGGAGGCCUUAUAGGGGAGACGACAUGCAACCAGCCUGGACUGAGGUCCGCGCAUCUGCUAGGAUGCUGGCGUAAUGGCUGUAAGCGGCCCGUCUUGAAACACGGACCAAGGAGUCUAACAUCUAUGCGAGUGUUUGGGUGUCAAGCCCAGACGCGUAAUGAAAGUGAACGGAGGUGGGAACCCUUUGGGUGCACCAUCGACCGAUCCUGAUGUCUUCGGAUGGAUUUGAGUAAGAGCAUGGCUGUUGGGACCCGAAAGAUGGUGAACUAUGCUUGAAUAGGGUGAAGCCAGAGGAAACUCUGGUGGAGGCUCGCAGCGGUUCUGACGUGCAAAUCGAUCGUCAAAUUUGGGC